AAAUAUAAGAAGACUGAUUAACUUUGGUGGGCAAGGGGAUCAGACUAAAAUAUAUAUAUUUGUAUUUGAAAGGGUCUUUUGAUUUUAUACUGGGGUGCUUGCUUCAGCAGCAUGUAUACUUUCUCUCUCUCUUUUUUUUGGUACCGGGGAUCGAACUCGGGUCCUUGCGUUUGAGUGACAGGCGGUGGAACCACUGAGCUAAAUCCCUGUCGACUUUUAAGUUACUUUCUAAAAAUCUAAAUAUAAUGUUCUAGAUUGUACAUUGUACUUAUAAGAACUGAACAAAGCAAGAGCGAGUGCAGUGUCCUUAGAGUUGAUGUGGGUUUUUUUUUUUUUUUUUGGGUACCGGGGAUCAAAUUCGGGAUCUUUUGUUUUAGAGGCAGGCGGCAGCACCACUGAGCUAAAUCCCCCCCCUCCCCUUUUUUUUGAGGCAGGGUCUUCUUGCCAUGUAGUUCUAGCUGAUUUUGAACUGAUUAUGUAUGUAGCCCAGGCUGGCCUCGAGCUUGGGGCUGUCCUGUCUCAGCCUCCCAAGUGCUGGGAUUACAGGUGCGCCACCACAACCUGCUGUGAUGUGGUUCUUUUAAAAAAUUAUUUAUUUAUUUAUUUAUUUUUGGUACCGGGGAUCGAACUUGGAACCUUGUGCGGCAGGUGCCUGCACCAUUGAGCUAAAUCCUGGGCCCUGUGAUGUGGUUCCUUAUUGACCUCUUUCAGUGGGUUAGGCAAGGUGCCAAGACUUUUUGUAUGCAUUAUCUCAUUUAAUUUAAUCCUCAUAAUUGUUCUCUUUUUGUAAAUUAAGAAGUUAAACAAUUCAGGGCACAGAGCUAGUGGAUAACAGCUGGAUCCAGCCUGAGUUUGCCAAAUGCCUUCUUUAAAUCCUGUCUGAUUUUCUUUUUAUUUUGGUAUCAGGGAUGGAACUCAGGACCUUGUGCUUUGGAGGCAGGCACGGUGCCACUGAGCUACAUCCCUGGUUGACCUAGUUGAAACUUGGGUCUGAUACACCAUUAAUUUUGAUAAAGAUUGGAUCAGUAGGCAGUACUUGUAGAGUUUAUGGAAACUUUAUUGUUCUUGUAAUUUAGCAAAGCUUUUGGGACCUGAUAAGGCUAAACGUCUUACUCAGGGUUUGUCUUGUGAUCACACUUGAUUUUCUGUUUAGUGUACUGCUGAAGCACUAUGCAUACGUGUCAGUCUUGUAGAAGUCUAGACAGCUGGUCGUGGAGCCAAAACCAAUUAAUUAACUCUGGAAAACAAUUGAAAACUGCUCAGUGUUCAAGUGCUCUCCAAGCACCUGUUGAGUCCACAGUUGAUACUGGCAUUACCUCUAAAUAUAGGCCUGAUCCUCUUAGAAACCAAGAAUGAAACUAGAAGGGGGGAGAAACAGCUGGGGCCUGAGGGAGGAGCCACAGGUUACUGGCGGAAACAUCAACCCCUGGAGGCAGAUCAGGCUGCAGAUUCUAGGGAAUGGCAGAAGGGGAAGGAAUUUUCUUUUUUUGAGAUUUUCUGUAUCUAGGCAUUGGCCUGUGUGAGAUAGAUGUAUAUGUGUGUUAGAAAAUAGUUAUAUUGGGGCCGGGGAUUUAGCUCAGUGGUUUUGCCGCCUGCUGUGCAAGCACAAGGACUGGAGUUUGAUCCCUGGUACCAAAAAAUAAAGAAAGAAAAUAGUUAUAUUAUCCCCAUUUCUCAGGUGAGGCUCAGAAAGGCUAGGUAACUUUCACAAAGUCACUUAAUGGCAAUGAAGGAAGAUUGAAUGUAGUACUAUUUUUGAAAUUGUUGCUCAGAAGUUUCCCACUAUAUAGCCACCAUAUUAAAGUUGGGAAUUAAAGAUCAGUCUUGGAUCCACUUCGCUUCUCUUUUAGAAGUAAAACAUUAUAUUAGUCUGACAGUCUGGCUGCGUCUCUUUUCUUUUUCCUAAGAUAAGGUCUCAGUAUGUUUCUCAGGCUGGUCCCAAACUGUUGGGAUCAAGUGAUCCUCCCGCCUCAGCCUCCUGUGAGUAGCUGGGUCUUACGUGUACACACCACUGGGCCAGGGUACACAUUUUGUCACUUUGUUUAUCCAUGCAUCCUCAAUGUACAUUUAAGGUGCUUCCCACUUUUUGACUAUUGUGAAUAAUGCUGCUUUGAAAAAUUCUUUGUUUUUUGUUACUGGGGAUCGAACUCCGGUCCUUGCGCUUGCACAGUAGGCAGUGAAACCACUGAGCUAAAUCCCCGGCCCUGUAAUGCUGUUUUGAACAUUGAUGUACAAAAUCUGUUGGAGUUCCUGCCUUCAGUUUUUUUUUUUUUUACUUUUUUUUUUUUUUUUUUGUACCUGGGAUUGAACUGAGGACCUUGUGCUUGUGAGGCAGGCAGCGGAACCACUGAGCUAAAUCCCUGGUCUCUGCUUUCAGUUUUUAGGGUAUAUACACAACAUGGAAUUACUGUAUUAUGUGGAAAUUCUGUGUUUAAUUUUUGGGGGCAGCAUGGUUACUUUAAAAUGGUCAUUUUAUUACAUGUUCACCUAAAGGUAGCACUUGGUCAUAUGUAUGAAGGAUGGUGCUUCCUCAACUGACUUCCUGUAUUAUUUUUUUUACUUCCUAUAUUAUUAGAAUGACGCCUGUUGUAGAAAUGGCUCAAAAAUAAAUGUUUUACUCAGUUUUCUUGUAUCCGUGUGGAAGGUACCAUUUGUGACAUACAGGUCUUUCAGGUGCAAAUGUGGAUGAUUGUCUUUAGAAUGUCUGAAAAAUGUCGGUUGUAGAAAGCAUUUUCAGCAUACUUUGCUGCCUUUGGUUGGAAUUCAGGGUUUUUAAUUUUUGUUUUUUUGCUGUGCUAGGAAAUCAAACCAAGGGCCUUACUCAUGCAAGGCAAGCACUUUACCUUUGAGCUAUUCCCCAAGUCCUGCUUUUUCAUCUAAAAAUAUUUUAGGGCCAGAGAUUUAGCUUAGUGGAACUGCGCCUGCCUCCCAAAUGCAAGGUCCUGAGUUCGAUCCCUUGUACAAAAAAAAAUUUUUUUUAACUUGUGUGAGCUGCUGGUUACUGCUUACUGUGUGUAUCUUUUCUUCAUUUACUUUUAAAAAGUUUGAGUGCCUGUUGUAUGAUUUUCAUCUUUUUGUUUGUUUGUUUGUUUUGGUUUUUUUGGUACCAGGGAUCCAACUCUGGUCCUUGUGCUUGCACAGCGGGUGGCGAAAUCACUGAGCUAAAUCCCCAGCCCGGUAUGAUUUUUAUCUUUUUGGUGUUUUGAGACAGGAUCUUGCUGUGUAGUUUAGGCUGGCCUUGUACUCAGAGCAGUUCUCCUGCCUCAGCCGCCUGAGUGUUGGAGUGCUGGGAUUACAGGCACAUGCCAGCACAUCCAGUCUUGUAUGCUCUAAAUAUUUAUAACAAGUGCCUGCAGUACAUGGACAGAACUAUGUGUUUCUGGCUGGUCUUGAACUCACUGUGUUGCCCAGGCUGGGGAAGUCACAGUGAUCCUCUUGCCUCAGCCUCCAGACUGCUGGGAUCACGGGUGGCAUCGUAUUUGGUGGAUCUGAAAUAUUUUUCAAGAUUUGAAAAUACUUUAUCUUUAGGUGCUGGAUGGUAAGGAUUGGCCAGAGACCAGUCAGUAUUCACUCUCCCUGUUCACAUACACCAUGGCAGUCUUAUGUGUGGGUUCCUGAAAUAUGCACCAUCUUCUCCACACAGUAGAGGCUUUCAGCCCUUAAAACAUUCUGGUGGCCUAAAGGUAGUAGUUAGCUAACAUAGCCAUUAGCUUAGAGACAGCUUCUGUGACCAACGACCAAUGACUGAUUUGUGUUUGGGCACAAGUUUGGAGGUCUUGGGGACUUCCAGGAGUUAUAUGAGUUUUUUGUUUUGUUUUUUCGGUACUGGGGAUUGAACUCAGGACCUUGCACUUGCCAGGGAGCUAUAUCUCCAGCUCUUAUAUAAGUUUUUUUCCCCCCCUUAUAUGAGGUUUCUUUUUUUACUGGCCCAAACAAACCCUAAAGAACAACCCUGGCUUGCUAGUAAGAAGAGGAUUUGUACUUAAUUAGCAGGACCAUGUGAUUACUAGUUGUGGAGUGUAAGUUCCUCUUUGGAAAUAGGCCAAACACUAUUGGGACAGAGAAGGAGUUGUUUUUUUUAACAGGGUUUCUCUGUGUAGUUCAGGCUGGCCUUGAACUCACUAUGUAGCCCAGUCUGGCCUCUAACCUUCAGUGAUCCUCCUCCCUCAGCCUUCCAGCCUCCCAGGUACUGGGAUUAUAGGUAUAUAUGCAUAUCCCACCAUACAUGGCCCUUAAGAAGGAUUAUCAUUUUUUGGUACUGGAUUGAACUCAGGACCUUGUGCUUUCGAGGCAGGUGGCACCACUGAGCUAAAUCCCUGGUGAUUUUCAUGAAUUGGAGGCCCGCGUGGGCUACAUAGUUCAAAACGAACCUGAACUAUUUAACGAGACCCUGUCUCAAAAAACCUCCCUCCCAGUUUUUGUUUUUUUGUUUUUUGUUUUUUUUGGAACUGGGGAUUGAACUCAGGACCUUGUGCUUGCCGGUUUUUUUGGUACCUGGGAUGGAACUCAGGACCUUGCUCUUUCAAGGCGGGCGGUGGAACCACUGAGCUAAAUCCCUGGCCCCUGUUUUUAUGUUUAUUGUCACUUAGAUUUAUGGUGUGGUCAGAAGAAGACAGAUGAGGACAGGAGAUUCAAGUAAUUAUUAAUUUAGAAUUUCACCUUGUAGUUGGGAUUGUACUAUCUUGAAUUAAUGAAUAUUUUCUGCCAGGUUUAUAUGUAGGUAGACAUGCUCAUUUCAUCAUGUCAUGGUUUAGAGAAAGGUAUUAGUUUUGUUUUGUUUUUUUUGGUACUAGGGAUCAAACUCAGGACCUUGAGUUUGCAAGGCAGGCUGUGGCACCACUAAGCUAAAUCCCAGGCCCAAGGGUACUAGUUUUAAGCAGAGCAUUCAGAAAGCCGUAUGCAAUUUUUUUUUUUAGCUAGGGUCUCAUUAUGUAGUCCAGGCUGGCCUUGAACUUGUGGCUGUCCUCCUGCCUCAGCCUCCCGGGGGUGCUGGGAUUACAGGAGUGUGCAACCAUGCCUGGCUUGGCUAAAUUUGGUUAUUUUCUUGGAAUAAGGGGUGAGAAGUACACUUGUGUGUAUUCUGGAACUGGUGACUUUCAAAUCCCUCUUAAAAGCCCUCUGCCCCAUACUCUGCAGCGUUCUCCAGAACUCUGCUGCCUUUUGAGAGGCCCUGUGCUUGUCCCCAUUCUGUGAACCCUGCCUGCUGUGCCUUCUGAGCUGAUUUGUGUCUCCUCAUGCUGAUGCAAAUACUCCUUGUUUUGGCUUGUAAAUUUAUUAUGCACUUUAAUAGCACUUAUCCAAGAGUACUUUUUUUUUUUUUGAGACAGGGUCUGGUUAUGCAGUUUAGGUUGCCUUUGAACUCACUUGUGUAUCCCAGGCUGGCCCCGAACUUGCAGUGAUCUUCCUGCCUCAGCCUCCUGAAUGCUGGGAUUAUAAGCAUGUCCCACCAUACCCAGCUCCAAGACUUAAAAAUAUGCAUUAAUUGUUUUUAAAGCAAUGCAUGUAUUUAAAAAAUUGAACAGGAUAGAAGUAAAUGAUGAAAACAGUAUCCCCACUUUCUCAAAGGCAGUCACUGAUAGUACUUUCUCUUAUAUUCCAGAUAUAGUCUUUGGUCAUACCAAAAUCAGUCACUCUUUAUUAUUAUUAUUAUUUUGUUUGUUUUGUGGUUUUUUUUGGUACUGGGGAUCGAACUCGGGUCUUUGUGCUUGGGCAGCAGGCGGGAAACCACUGAGCUAAAUCCCUGGCCCUAUUAUUUUAUUAUUGUUUUGCAGUUCUGAGAAUUGAAUCAGUGGCCUUGUGUGUGCUAAACAAGCACUCUUCCAUUGAACUAUAGCCCCACCUCCAGAGUUUUUAUACUGUAUGAAAUGUUUACUGGGCGUAGUGGCACCCAGCCUGUGGGAGGCUGAGGCAGGAAGGUUGUCCCGAGGCCAGCCUGAAUUACAAAGCUGAGACCCUGUCUCAAAAAAAAAAAACCCUUAAAACCAAAAUAAAAAAGAGAUGCUUCUUUUUCUCAGAUUUUAUUAGAAAAUAAUUUAUGAAUAUUGAAAAAAGUUCAAGCAUUGUAGAAAUAUAUAAAAUGAAAAGCAAAAGCUUCCUUUACCUUGAUCCCUAAUUCUAGCCCUUCCCAAACAACACCUCCCUCUCCAUGUCCACUCUCCCCACUGGGCAUGGUGGUGCAUGCCUCUACUUAGGAGGCUGAGGCAGGAGGAUAACAAGUCCAUGGCCAUCCUAGGCAAUUUAGUGAGACCUUGUAUCAAAUAAAAAGUGCUGAGAUGAAACUCCGGUUGAGUACCUCUGGAUUCAAUUCUCUGUACUGCAAAUAAAACAAAACAAUCCUCUUUCCAAAGGUAACCUUGUAUAAACCUAGUGUGUACAUUUUAAUUUUGUUUUACUUAUAUUUACAUGACCACGUAAGUGUCAUUAUUUUUAUUUUUUAUUUAUUUACCCCCAUUGUUGGGGAUUGAACCUGUUGCUCGAUCACUCAGUUAUACCUCCAGAUUUCUAUUAUUAUUUUACCCUUUUUUUUUUUUUUUUUUUGCUACCGGGCAUCAAACUUAGGACCUUGCGCUUUUGAGGCAGGUGGCGGCACCACUGAGCUAAAUUCCCGGCCCUAUUUUACUAUAUUUUAUAUAUAUCAGGGUAAGUUUUUGUUCUUUUUUUUUGUACCAGGCAUCGAACUCAGGACCUUGUGGUUGCGAGCCAGGUGUGGCACCACUGAGCUAAAUACCCAGCUUUCUCUUCUUAAUAUAUAUAUUUUGGAGACAUUUUCAUAGUAAUACAGAGCUACUUUAUUGUCUGAUGGUGUUCAUUCCAUAAUAUUCAUAUGCCAUUUUAUUAUUAUAUUUUGAGAUAGGGUCUCCCUUUGUAGUUCAGGCUGGCCUUGAAUUUAUGGCAGUCCUGCCUCAGCCUCUCAAAUGUUGGCAUUACAAAUGUGCGCCAUCCUGCCUGCACAUAUGCCAUUUUAUUUUAUUUUAUUUUAGGUUCCUGGGAUUGAACUUGGGUCCUUGUGCUUUCAAGGCAGGCAGCAGAACCACUGAGCUAAAUUCCCAGCCCGACAUAUGCCAUUUUAUUUAACCAUUAUCCAAUUAAUGAAUGUUCAUGUGGGGCUGGGGAUUUAACUCAGUGGUUCUGCUGCCUGCCUGGAAAGUGCAAGGUCCUGAGUUCGAUCCCUGGUACCAAAAAUAAAUAAAUCAUUGUUCACAUGUUUUUUAUCUGGUGUGUUCCUAAUAAUGCUACCUUCACCACAUUUUUAUAUACUUCCCCUUGGACAUGUAUGAAUAUUUUUCUAGGCUGGUGGGUAUGAAGAUAUGUUCUUCUAAAAAUUUUCUUGAGUACUGCUGAAAUGAUUUUUUUUUUUUUUGGUAUGGGGAUUGAACUCAUGACCUUGUGCUUGUGAGGCAGGCGCAGUGCCACUGAGCUAAAUCCCUGGCCUCCCAAAUGAUUUUUUAAAAAAAUUCUUACUUUUAUAUUUGGGUACUGGGGAUCAAACUUAGGCCCUUGCGCUUCAGGGCAGAUGGCGGAACCACUGAGCUAAAUCCCCAGCAAAAAAAUUCUUUUGAAAUAAUUUUAGAGUUAUAGAAGCAUAAAGAUAGCACAGAGAUCUUCCGUGUAGCUUUCCCCUAGUUUUUCCUAAUGUUAAUGUCUUUCAUGACCGUAGUGCAUUUACAGUAUUGUUAAAUUAUACUUUGUUUGGAUUUCCCAUUUUCCCACAAAUGUUAUAAAAAGUUCCUAGACACAGUCUAGGAUUCUGUUCUUCUGGUAUAAGUUCUCUUUAAUUUUAUCGAGUUUCACAAUUUCUGAGUCUUUCCUUGUCUUUUUUACCACCUGCAAGUUUUGGGUAGUAUAGUACUGGGGACUGAAUCUAGGGCCUUUGCACUGAGCUACAUCCCAGACCUUUUUUUUUUUUAAAUUAAUUUUUUUUCUGUUACUGGGGUCAAACUCAGGACCUUGCGCUUGCCAGGCAGGCAUGGCGCCACUGAGCUACAUCCUCAGCCCUUUUUAUUUUUUCUUUUUCUUUCUUUCUUUUUUUUUUUUUUUUUUGGUACUGGGGAUCAAACUAGGGUCCUUGCGUUUGUGCAACAGGCGGCGAAACCACUGAGCUAAAUCCCCGGCCCAUUAUUUUUUAUUUUGAGACAGGGUCUUUCUCGGUGCUGAGUUGCCCAGGCUGGGUUCAAACUUGUGAUCCUCCUUCCUCAAUUUCCCAGAGUGUUGGGAUUACAGGUGUGCACACCAUGCCCAUUGGGAGUGGAUGAAUUUAACUGGGACACCCACCUCCUUUCAGCCUCCCAAGUGCUGGGGUUAUGGGUGUGUGGCACCCCUCUCCCCGACCACCUUGUUUUUGUUUUGGUAUGAGAUGGAACACAGGACCUUGCACCUGGGAGGCAGCUGCCGAAACCACUGAGUUAAAUCCCUGCCCCAGUAAUACAUUUUCCAUUACAAAUGGAUUAACCUGAAAUUCCAGCUACAUUGUUUCAAGCAGAAUAGAAACAAACUGCAAAAAUCCAACUCAGAAGAAUCUGGAAAAUUGCACUACUUCUGGCCAUCCUUUCUGUGUCCAGAUCUUUUUUAAAAAAAUCUUUAGAUUUAGGUUAGGCAUGGUGGCCCAUGACUGUAAUCCCAGCACUUGGGAGGCUGAGGCAGGAGGAUUGCUGUAGGCCAGCCUGGGCUAUGUAAUGAGUUCAAGGCCAGACUACACAGUGAGACCUCAAAAAAAAAGCUGGGCAUGGUGGCACACAUUUGUAACUUCAGUACUUUGGGAGGCUGAGCUGAGGCUGGAAGAUGGCAAGUUCAAGCCAAGCCUGGGCAGUGUAGCGACUUGGCAAGACAGUCUCAAAAAAAUAAAACCCAACAACAACAAUAAAAAACAACAUGCUGGGCAAGUAGCUCAAUGUGAAGGCCCUGGAUUCAGUCUUUAGUACUUGGGGAAAAAGCACCUGUGUCUAGACCGCUGGUAUCAUUGUCAUAAAAAGUACCUGUGCGGAGAGGCGGAGACAAUAUUAGAAGUAUUUUAAUUUUAAAAGCUCUUUACUAGCAGCUCAAUAUAGAGGACUUUUAAAUCUCUGUCUGCUUAGAAAAGUAAUUUAAGCAAGUGGUGAAGAAUUAUAGAAUCAGGACUGGAACAAGUUUUGUUCAGUAGAUAUCCAAAUAUACUGUAACUACUGUGUUUGACAGUGGGAUACUGAGGCGAAUAAGACAAGGUUCUUUGCCUUCAUGAGCCUUACUAGCUAAUCUUCCAAGUCUCACCUAUUCUCACUUUAUGUUGUAUUAUAGAAAUUAAAGCUUAAGAGAUCAAAUAACCUGCCCAGGGCUAAGUAGCUAGUUUCUGAUGAAAUAGAACUGGAGGCUGGGCAUGGUGGCACACUUCUGUAGUCCCAGUGCUUGGAAGGCUGAGGUAGAAUUGCUACAAGUUUGAGACCAGUCCAGGCUACAUAGUGAGUUCAAGGCCAGUCUCAACUACAUAGCCCUAAGACCCUGUCUCCCCCCGCAAAAAACCCCAAAAAACUAGAACGCAAGUUUCUUACAUGGGAGAUAAAAGCAAAACAUCUACUUAUUUAUGCAAAAUUUUGAGUGCUCACUAAGGCGUUUAAGGUCCCUGUAUGGGGUGCUGAAAAUUACAGUGGUAAGUAAAAUACCCAUAUCCCUUUGAUACAGAGAUCAAAAAAAUUUUUUUGAAUUUAACAUUUUCUUCCACUGUGCUGUAUUAUAAUUAGUUUAUAAACAUUUUUUCUUGUGGAAGGGUUCAGGCCUAUCAAAUGAUUUUUUGGUAAGUGUGAGUGUCUUGUCACCAGUUCGGACUGAAGAGGUUCACUUGAGAUUCAGACAGCCCCAAGACGAGACACAGGACUGUGGACUGGAUUAAACAUCCUUAUUCUUAGGUGCUCAGCCUUGAACACUCGAAUGGCUGUCCUCAGUCCCCUAGCUCCACGCUUCUCACAGCAGUCCUUGGGUGCUUAGUCUCUCCUAGCCCUCAUGGCAGUCCACAUUUAUAGAUCAAAAUACACAAUAGUGGUCAUGUGCCCGGAACAAUCGUGGUUAUAUGAAUUAUUCUCACUGGCCAGUAUUGACCUUGGCUGUAGAAGUUCUUUACAUUUUGGGGAAAUGGAAGAUGCUCUUGCGCUGGAGCUCUGUUGACACAGAACCCACUGCAUCCCAAACGCCCUUCUUUCACAGCCUGCCCCGAAACACUGCCAUCUUGCCCUUUUGCAUUUCUCUACAGUGGAGUGCUGGGAAUAUAGUUGGACCUUGCACAUGCAAAGAGUGUGCAUUUGCCAUUGAGAUAACAGCCCCACCCCUUAAAUAUUUAUUCUUUAAUGUGACUAAGUUCAGUGUGUUUAAUGUGUAUCUGGCACUUGAAGUUAGUGUUAUUUAUUUUUUCUUUUUUUGGUACCGGCGAUCCAACUCAGGACCUUGCAGUUUCAAGACAGGCAGUGGAACCACUGAGCUAAAUCCCCACCCCAAAGUUAGUGUUAUUGAAGGACUAAGAAAGGCAUAAUUAGGUAGUUGUGGGAUUUUUUUUUUUUUUUUUUUUUUUGUAUUGGAGAUUGAACUCAGGACCUUGUUGUUGUAAGGUAGGCAUGGUGCCACUAAGCUAAAUCCCUGGCCCAGGUAGUUGUGGGUUUUGAUGUUUACUUAUUUCAGAAUUAGGUAAGGCCUAACGCUUUGUUUUGUGAGCAGAGAGAACUGCUCCCUUUGGAUUGGAAGACUUUCUGCUCUCAAGAGCCAGAGCUUAGACUGUCAGUUAAAAUCAGAUGACUUUUGUACACUGACCUUUUCUUUCUGUUUAGUUAUUCACCUAAUGUAAUAUAAAAUCUCUUUUUUUUUUUUGAGACCAGGUCUCAUUUUGUAGUGUAGGCUGACCCUGAAGUCACUAUGUAUUCCAGGCUGGCCUCGAACUCAGGGUAUUCCUCCUGCCUCAGCCUCCUAAAUGCUGGGAUUACAGGUGGAUGCCACCACUCCUGGCUGUUAUAUAAAAUCUUUUUAAAAGUUUUCUUUAUAGAAUAGACUUGGGUAUCUGUAUUCUUAAUAUUCAAAGAAUCAUACGUAAGGCAGAAUGUAUAUUUUAAAUUUCCUUAAACUAAUUAUGACUGUAUUUGAUUUUUUUCCUCUUAGUACUUGCUAGAACAGUUAAACAUUGAUAGUCUAGGAAAAAGUGAAAAAAGGUUAAUUAAACCACUGUUGAAUAAUGUAGACUGUUUUAGUUAUUUGGUGGCUUAGAGGAUUACGGCCUUUUCCCUAAAAAUGUGUAGUUAAACAUACUUAUACAAUGGAGAAAGUAAUUACCCUUCCAGAAGGAAGUUUCCUUAACCUCAGGCCCCCUUACUAUUUUUCUUCCAGAAGGCCUUCUGCCACUCGGCUGGGGCCAAUUAAUUUUUGGCUCAGCUGUUUUAGUUUCCCUACAGAAGUUGGACUUACCUAUGUUAAUAAUCUGUGAAAAUCAAAUUCCAGUUUUUUAUUUUAAGAGAGCUAGAACGUUAAAUUCCCUGCCAAUAAUUAAUUUAGUAAGUUACUGUAUGCUAGCUAUGAUUAUUUUAGUUCGGCAGGUAUAACCAUAUUUUAAAACACUACAUAUUGAUGUAGAGGAGGUAGCAUGACUGUGGAAUUCAAGUUACCUCAUAAUUUAAAAAGUAUUUGAGGGCCCAGGGAUGUAGUUCAGUGGUGCCACGCCUGGCUGGCAAGCACAAGGUCCUGAGUUCGAUCCCUAGUACUGGGGGGGAAAAAAAAGGGAAAAAUAGGACUAGUAAGCAGGUGAUCAUUGACUGUGUAUGUAAAUAAUUAGAAGUGACUUCAAACACUUAGAUUGGC
Molecule: long non-coding RNA, 11802 nt
Filed under: Heterocephalus glaber (naked mole-rat)
Lineage: Eukaryota; Metazoa; Chordata; Mammalia; Rodentia; Bathyergidae
Description: lncRNA (ENSHGLG00000048353.1)
Source: RNAcentral